GGCUCAGAACGAACGCUGGCGACGCGUCUUAAGCAUGCAAGUCGAACGGCAGCACGGGGCAACCUGGUGGCGAGUGGCGAACGGGUGAGUAACACGUAGGUGAACUGCCCUUGGGCUGGGGAUAGCCUGUGGAAACACAGGGUAAUACCGAAUGAGGUCACGGGACUUUGGUUUUGUGAUGAAAGGGGCUAAGGCCUCGCCUGAGGAUGUGCCUGCGGCUGAUUAGCUAGUUGGUGGGGUAAAGGCCUACCAAGGCGACGAUCAGUAGCCGGCCUGAGAGGGUGGACGGCCACACUGGGACUGAGAUACGGCCCAGACUCCUACGGGAGGCAGCAGCUAAGAAUCUUCCGCAAUGGACGAAAGUCUGACGGAGCGACGUCGCGUGGGUGAUGAAGGCGGAAACGUUGUAAAGCCCUUUUAUGGACGAGGAAUAAGGUGAGGAGGGAAUGCCUUGCUGAUGACGGUAGUCCAUGAAUAAGCCCCGGCUAAUUACGUGCCAGCAGCCGCGGUAACACGUAUGGGGCGAGCGUUGUUCGGAAUUAUUGGGCGUAAAGGGUAUGCAGGCGGCCAGGUAAGUCUGGUGUGUAAUCCCGCAGCUUAACUGCGGAGCCGCACUGGAAACUGUCUGGCUAGAGUACAGGAAGGGGAGUUGGAAUUCCAGGUGUAGGGGUGAAAUCUGUAGAUAUCUGGAAGAACAUCAGUGGCGAAGGCGAACUCCUGGCCAUGUACUGACGCUGAGAUACGAAAGCGUGGGGAGCAAACAGGAUUAGAUACCCUGGUAGUCCACGCUGUGAACGAUGUGCACUAGGUGUUGGGGUCUUCGAUCUCAGUGCCGUAGCUAACGCGUUAAGUGCACCGCCUGGGGAGUAUGCCCGCAAGGGUGAAACU
Molecule: ribosomal RNA, 888 nt
Filed under: uncultured bacterium
Lineage: Bacteria
Description: bacterial SSU rRNA
Rfam family: Bacterial small subunit ribosomal RNA
Source: RNAcentral